RNAcentral lists this long non-coding RNA (444 nucleotides) under Scophthalmus maximus (turbot). RNAcentral describes it as "lncRNA (ENSSMAG00000024880.1)". Lineage: Eukaryota; Metazoa; Chordata; Actinopteri; Pleuronectiformes; Scophthalmidae. The record is from RNAcentral.
AUGUUGAUGAAUCAUCUUGCUUUCAUCACAGUUUCCCUUGGAGCAUGGAAAUCUGCUGUCAUUCUAAUAACCUCUGGUGUUUUCCUCGGAAUAAUACUUCUCUUCACCUUCUUCCUGAUAAGAAAAAUGAGAACCUCCAAGCAAUCAUCCCAACCCGGAGACCGAUCUGACAACAGUGAGAAGUUUCCGUCCAAUCAGUCGGAGGAACAGCGUGACUUUCACUCUGCCACUGUCCACUUCUUGAAGAACCAGACAGAUCCUAUCUACUCCAACAUCCGACCGGUAGGAGCCAGCGGACACGAGGAGGAUGAUGAUGAUGAUGAUGAAGAGGAGGAGGAUGAGGUUGCGUACGCUACUGUCACCUUUAAAAGUUCUGACCCGAGAGUACAGGACACUGGAGAGGAUCCAGCCACGUUGUACAGUACAGUCUCGAAAAACUUCUGA